Molecule: ribosomal RNA, 164 nt
Filed under: Cischweinfia dasyandra
Lineage: Eukaryota; Viridiplantae; Streptophyta; Magnoliopsida; Asparagales; Orchidaceae
Also listed under: 6 other names
Description: 5.8S ribosomal RNA
Rfam family: 5.8S ribosomal RNA
About the family: 5.8S ribosomal RNA (5.8S rRNA) is a component of the large subunit of the eukaryotic ribosome. It is transcribed by RNA polymerase I as part of the 45S precursor that also contains 18S and 28S rRNA.
Source: RNAcentral
AACACGACUCUCGGCAAUGGAUAUCUCGGCUCUUGCAUCGAUGAAGAGCGCAGCGAAAUGCGAUACGUGGUGCGAAUUGCAGAAUCCCGUGAACCAUCGAGUCUUUGAACGCAAGUUGCGCCCGAGGCCACCCGGCCAAGGGCACGUCUGCUUGGGCGUCAAGC